UAUUCACAGUGGCCUGUGUCCCUGGAAACUACACCUCCUUCUCCAGCAUGCUCUGGGUCUUCCCUACGUGGCUGCCUGAUUCUGUUGUUGGAUGAGAACAGGCAGGUGGACUUUCACCGCUUGGACAGCCACCCAUCAGCCCGACUACACUUGGGGUCAACUCAACCUUACCCCUGGAGAGGAACCACAGCUGCUCCUGGAACAGAUCCCCCUGGACCACAAGACGCCGACGGCCAGCGAGCAGGAAGGGCUAGGCUCUCAUGAGGCCAAGGUGGAUAGAAAAGUAUCCAGAACAAGUCCAGGAGACCAGCCCAGAAGACCCUAAUGGAUGCUGAGCAGGGUCUCAUCUACCAACAGUCACAUCUACCACAGAAAGACUCAAUGGUUUGUCUUGGUUUCCCUUAAGGUUGAUGCUGCCAUCUUGAAAACAGCUGGAGGAUGAGGCCAAUUUCCAAGGAUGACAAGGCAUAGAGAAGGAAAGAAACUGGGUCCUGGAGAACAAUACCAUCCAUGUUGCCAACCGGAUACACUCAAUG
Long non-coding RNA from Canis lupus familiaris (dog), 536 nucleotides. RefSeq lists it as uncharacterized. The transcript has 3 exons. The record is from RefSeq and is a predicted model, not a curated record. NCBI's taxonomy places the organism in Eukaryota, Metazoa, Chordata, Mammalia, Carnivora, Canidae.